This is a long non-coding RNA of Peromyscus eremicus (cactus mouse), 233 nucleotides long. RefSeq lists it as uncharacterized. NCBI's taxonomy places the organism in Eukaryota, Metazoa, Chordata, Mammalia, Rodentia, Cricetidae. The record is from RefSeq and is a predicted model, not a curated record. The transcript has 2 exons.
UCCAGUGUGCUAAUCAGCUUUCUAUUACUAUAACUGUAAGUGUUACAGCUCUGAAGAGAAAGGUAUACUGGAAGUCAGAAGCCAAGGAUUACCUCCAGCUCUGAAGGAAAAGGUUCUUCUGAAGUAAGUGAAAGCUGAAAUGGUUGGAGAGAAAUUUCUAGAAGGGGAUGAGGUUUGAUAUGGAUCCUGAAGGUGGAGAUUUGAGAGAAUAAAGCAUUGAAGAUAAAACCUGA